Phrynosoma platyrhinos (Desert horned lizard) is the source of this 72-nucleotide non-coding RNA. The record is from the annotation of a GenBank genome assembly. NCBI's taxonomy places the organism in Eukaryota, Metazoa, Chordata, Lepidosauria, Squamata, Phrynosomatidae.
GUCAGAGUGGUGUAGUGGUUUGAAUGUUAGACUAUGGCUCAGGAGACCAGGGUUUGAUACCCUACUUGGGCA